RNAcentral lists this long non-coding RNA (1053 nucleotides) under Homo sapiens (human). RNAcentral describes it as "HSALNT0093553". Lineage: Eukaryota; Metazoa; Chordata; Mammalia; Primates; Hominidae. The record is from RNAcentral.
GAACUACUCUAGUAAAGGAACUGAAAAAUCGCACAGUUCCUUUUAUUAAAUGAAAUAUUAUUAUUAAAUGAAGUAAUUAUUGCAUUUUGCAUUUCCAGGUGCUGGGAAUACAAAGAAAAAAAUUAGAUACCAGUCUUUAUCCUCAUGGCUCUUGCUAUCUUGUGACAGAAACAGAAUUAGACAAAUAAUUUUGCAAAUAUUUAAUUAAUCACACAUGCUACAAAUACUACAAAGGAGAAACACUGAUUCCAGAAGAGCGUGAAACAGAGGUCCUGACCUAUUUUGGGCUUUCAACACAGGCUUUCCUGAGACGGAAUCUGAGAAGAUUCCUCAUAUGGCAUAUGAAGAGGCUGACCAUAGAAGAAGCAACUCAGGCAGUGGAUACAGCAGACAAGUGUGAAUUCUUCCCUGGAGUGAACCUCUUGGAUGUGGAACAUGACAGAACCAAUACUGGUGAACAACAGUCCUCCAAGCAAAUGAUAGUGCUACAUACAAAGGAAGUUGGAAUGGAUAUUGGUUAAGCAAAAGCAAUGUUUGUUGAGCAAACUCAGCCUCCUCAUCUGUCUAUGGGUCUAAGUCAUCAUUUCUUUUUCUGGACUACACUAUUCUGAGUAUGCAUUGAGCCUAACUCCUCCAAAUUUAUGAAAAUACUGGCACCUCUAACGUUAUUUUGUUUUUUAUGUGGCUUCUUCUUGGAGGAUUUUCAUUUCAAGUUUGGUCAGACUUGAGUUCUCUGCGUAACAUAAUCAGAUCCAAAACCUUCUCACCAGGGGAACACAUUUACUUUAUUUCUGUUAAAAUUGAGAAGAAUAACAAGAUGUAAUAUCAUAUUUAUCUAUAGUUAACAAAAUUGCUAUCAGAUUUUAAAAAUCUUAAUAUCUCACACACCUUAUCAAGAUUUCCUGGCCGGGCGAGGUGGCUCACGCCUGUAAUCCCAGCACUUUGGGAGGCCGAGACGGGCGAAUCACGAGGUCAGGAGAUUGAGACCAUCCUGGCUAAGACGGUGAAAUCCUGCCUCUACUAAAAAUACAAAAAAUUAGCCGGGCUUGGUGG